AGGCAAGGAGGACUCCUCAAGCCAUUUGUGAUCACUCCACUCUUGACCGGCAGUCCAGGGAUCCGACAGCAAGUCCAACUCUUGGUCCCGUGUUGCAGACCCCUGUCCUUCAGGGUGGCACAUGAGAGAAUUUGCUACAUGAGUAAGCUUUAACUGUGGGUUUUAGUUUUGACCAGUGGUUCCUAACACCUCUGAAAAUGUGGAGAACACCUCAGAAUGCAGCUGAGUGGAGAGUAGUACUCAGAGGCCCUAGAAGAUGGUUGAUUCUCAAGAUGAAGGAGCCUAUAUCCCUGAAUCACUAUGUGGAGAGCUGCCUCCUGAAC
Molecule: long non-coding RNA, 323 nt
Organism: Zalophus californianus (California sea lion)
Lineage: Eukaryota; Metazoa; Chordata; Mammalia; Carnivora; Otariidae
Exons: 3
Source: RefSeq, a predicted model, not a curated record